Molecule: ribosomal RNA, 253 nt
Filed under: uncultured bacterium
Lineage: Bacteria
Description: partial 16S ribosomal RNA
Rfam family: Bacterial small subunit ribosomal RNA
Source: RNAcentral
UACGGAGGGUGCAAGCGUUAUCCGGAUUCACUGGGUUUAAAGGGUGCGUAGGCGGGUAAGUAAGUCCGUGGUGAAAUCUCUGAGCUUAACUCAGAAACUGCCGUGGAUACUAUUUGCCUUGAAUAUUGUGGAGGUGAGCGGAAUAUGUCAUGUAGCGGUGAAAUGCUUAGAUAUAACAUAGAACACCAAUUGCGAAGGCAGCUCACUACACAAUCAUUGACGCUGAGGCACGAAAGCGUGGGGAUCAAACAGG